CGCAGCAUAUUUCUUUUUUCGGUCAAUUGUGAGAUACCACUGUAAAACUAUGCUCUGAGUAGUGAGCUAUAGUGUUUGCCACUAUGCAGAAAAUUUUCGAAGACAGAUCCGAAGGGAACGCCAAAUCCAAUACCCAUCUCCGCCCAAAAAUAUCCUACCCAUUAAAUUUACUUCUUCCUCUCUUUCUACACUUUCCCAUUUUCCACACUAUUCACUAUUAUAUACCAAUUUCUACUUUUUCGACUCAAAUUUACUCCGAUUUUUGUCGAAACCCUUUUCGUUAUUUUAGCUGUUUACUUCGAAUAAGAGGAAAUUAAGUUUCAUUGAGUGACCCCAUAAUCGCGAUUGUGCUUCAAUUUAGCGUGUAAUUGAGGGUUUUGUAGAUUCUACUUCUUGAUCCUAUUUUCAUUGAUCAAAAUCACUUUUUUCCUCUGUUUUUUUGUUCUGGGGUUUUAUUUUUUAGGUAUGGGCAUUAGUAUAAUCUGAAUUUUUGAGUAAUUCAACACACUUUUGGAUCUCAAUGUUUGUUAAAUCUCUUUGGAUCUGAGAUUGUGCUGGAAAUCAAGAUGAAUCGUUGUUGAGACACUUGGAACAGGCAAAAGAUUUUAUUUUUUUGCAAUUGAUGUGUGUAGUAGAGGGCUUUUUUGUAAUUUAGCAAGGAUUAGGAAUUUGGGUUUGUGAUGAUGGAUCAUGUUAUUGGUGGAAAAUUCAAGCUUGGGAGGAAGAUUUGGGGGGUGGGGGUCAUUUGGAAAAUUCAAACUUGGGUGUUAAUGUACAAACUGGAGAGGAAGUGGCUGUCAACCUGGUGAGUGUAGUUAUUGAUUUCUAUUGGGUGCUAUGUUAAUUGAUAAUCUCGUUCCCUUAAAUGACAUGUUAUGACAUGUUUUUAGAAGUGGUCAUCCUGAAAAAACGAUUAUAUCAUAACCA
This is a non-coding RNA of Cicer arietinum (chickpea), 927 nucleotides long. NCBI's taxonomy places the organism in Eukaryota, Viridiplantae, Streptophyta, Magnoliopsida, Fabales, Fabaceae. The record is from RefSeq and is a predicted model, not a curated record.